RNAcentral lists this long non-coding RNA (247 nucleotides) under Physcomitrium patens. RNAcentral's name for it is "long non-coding RNA (PPAT_LNC010667)". Lineage: Eukaryota; Viridiplantae; Streptophyta; Bryopsida; Funariales; Funariaceae. The record is from RNAcentral.
UCCAAUCCAAUUAAUAGAUUGCAAGAAAUCUUAAAAACCCCCACUGAACCUAAAAUUCUACUUUUUGAGACCUUGACCCACUUAAACCUCAAUAUCCCUCAAUUAAACCGUUAGAUCAAGCUCAAAUUUACGACACAUAUUGAAAACAAAUAUAACCAUAAAUCCACAAAAUUUCAUCUGUAGAUCUGUUGUAAAACUCUUGAAAUCACCCAAAAUAUAAACCCUAUUUUAUUUCAUAAAACCCAAG